AUCCUUUUAGCUCAAUGAUUGAGCGCUGGCGUUUUGAGCCACAUGUCGGUGGUUCGAUUCCACCCGAGCACA
Phytophthora infestans T30-4 is the source of this 72-nucleotide transfer RNA. It matches the Rfam family "tRNA". Rfam says of the family: Transfer RNA (tRNA) molecules are approximately 80 nucleotides in length. Their secondary structure includes four short double-helical elements and three loops (D, anti-codon, and T loops). NCBI's taxonomy places the organism in Eukaryota, Oomycota, Peronosporomycetes, Peronosporales, Peronosporaceae. The record is from Rfam.